This 332-nucleotide unclassified non-coding RNA is filed under the name Hevea brasiliensis (rubber tree). The record is from RNAcentral. Lineage: Eukaryota; Viridiplantae; Streptophyta; Magnoliopsida; Malpighiales; Euphorbiaceae.
CAGUUUAGGAUGCUUCAGUUCAUAAAUGAAUUAAACGCAUAACAUGGUGCAUUUCAAGUUUAUAUGCAAAAACAGCAAAAUAUAUAACAAAGUAUUGGCAACAAAACCAGUGGAAAUUAUAUUCAGCAAUCAGCAUUGAAAAUAAACACCACAAAGCCUAUGGAUGGCUCAUACCAACUACAGAACACACAAUAGACUACCAGUGUACGUGAUGUAAAGCAAUGCAGAAUUUUCUCCCUCAAAAUUAUAGCAUACUGCUCCAUAUUACCACUACAGGUUUUGCUGAUCAGAAACAACAUUGAUCUGACCUUAUCUGCCGGGGUUGUGCUAGA